RNAcentral lists this long non-coding RNA (1908 nucleotides) under Homo sapiens (human). Its description in RNAcentral is "PCBP1 antisense RNA 1". Lineage: Eukaryota; Metazoa; Chordata; Mammalia; Primates; Hominidae. The record is from RNAcentral.
GGCGGCCGCCAUGUUUCCUGAACACAAAAUGGCGACACGUGGUUAGCAUUCGUCGCCAACGAGAAAUUGGGGUCGGCCCGAAAGCUCUAGAAUGCACCCCUCUUCCUCCCCGGGGCCUUCCACCUCCGCGAGUUUUAUGACUUAAAAAAGCCCACAGGCUGGUCUGAAGAGGAAGACAAACAUAAAGAUGAAGUGCUUAAUUCAAGGUCACACAAUGUCGGGGAUGGACCUCCAGAUUUCCUUACUGGUGAGACGUGGUCUUGUAACACAGUGGUUAAGAAUGUGACUUUGGAGCCAGCCUGCUAGGGGCUGAAUUCUGACUCAGCCAUUUACUAACUGUGUGACCUUAGGUGGAGUCUCACUCUGUAGCCCAAGCUGGAGUGGCGUGAUCUCGACUCACUGCAACCUCCGCCUCCUGGGAUCAAGUGAUUCUCGUGCCUCAGCCUCCUGAGUAGCCGGGACUACAGGUCACAGAAUUUUCCACACUCCUUGACAGAGGUGCUUAACCCUUAUCCAUCAGCAUUCUCAGACAGCACCUCCGGUUAGGGACAGUAUCUGACCGUCCGACAUCCCUGCAGCCCCCAUGUGUCACACAGACUCAGCCUCAGGUAGAUGGUUUCCGUAGAUGGUGGCUUUCUUUGGACCCUUGACAUCAACCAGUUACUAUUUGGGGACCAGAUGUGCAGAGGUAAUGAAUACCAGGGAAUCAGGAAACCACUGGAUCAGUUCUUUGAGCCACAGAACAACACUCAUCCCAGCAGCUGGGAAGCUAUCUGCAAAAGUCCAUCUGCAGAAAGGGCUUCCUGGUCUUGCGUGUGGCUGGGCCAUUUCUCUGGAUGCAGGUUUUUCAUUAUACAGUCUUCUCAAAGAACCACCUGCUCUCAACACCUUCUCGGUGACUCCAUUUCCCCUCCUCUGGGCUCCUGGAAUGCCACAAUGGCCCCACCUUAGCCAGGCAGCUGUGAUGAGAGGUGUUGACCCAACUGCCUCUCUGCUGGCUCACUGAAUCAGGUGGAAGGGGCUGGGGACAGCACAGUCUUGCAUUGUGGUUGGGGACCUGGGCCAUCCAGAGGCAGGACUGUCCAAAGGCAGGGUACUGCUGGGAUUCCGCCAGGCACUGGGUGAUGCAUGGCAUAGGGAGCUGAAGAGGGACAGGCUCUUGGCCAGGAAAAACAGCCCCAGAGCCACAGGUGUGCCAUCGAGUCUUCCUCCUCUCCCAUCCUUAAUCACUCCUGUUUGGUGACAGCACACAGCUAGGCCUGGAGCCCAGCAAAGAGCCCCUGGGUCCCAGAGGAAGUUGUUCUGGGGGCUGGAGACAAUCACAAAUGCCAGGUUUGUGAGCCCCAGACUCUGGUUCAUAGCAAGAGGCAGACUUGUGAACAAACCACCAGAUCACACCGUAAAACACGCUCAACGAGGAGUGGGUGCCCUUUCUAGGGACAGGCAGAAGGCUCCAUGGAGUGACCUUUGAAUGGGGACAUAAAAGUGGAUCCCUUCAACAGCCCCUGCACAGCCCCAAGUCAGGCCUCCAGCCCUUGGACUCACAGAUGUCCUCUGUAGACGACUGGAUGUCCUCCCGUGCUACCCUUUACCCCUGCAGCGAGGGGCACAGAGCCAGAGCCCUCCAGGUCCUCACCACUGGCAUCACCAACAUAGUGGACAUUUUCCCUCUCAGAAUGAAAAGGGAGUGAAAUUUCCCGUGAUCUUUCCACAAAUGACCAGCUUGGGGAGUGGGAGAGGAAGUGCUGCAGUGCCUGGGGAAGGGGCCCUGGAACAGUUCCUGGAAAUGGAGAGGGGUGGAUAGGGUGGAGACAAUGCUCAUGGAGUGCAGUAUGGGGCCUACCCAGAGUUGCUUGGCCACCCCUCUGCCUCUGAAUCAGGGGUGAUCAAUGAAGGAAAAUUACUGCA